This 227-nucleotide ribosomal RNA is filed under the name uncultured bacterium. RNAcentral describes it as "partial 16S ribosomal RNA". It matches the Rfam family "Bacterial small subunit ribosomal RNA", at positions 109 to 334 of the family's 1533-position model. The record is from RNAcentral.
AGUAACGCGUGAGGAACCUGCCUCAAAGAGGGGGACAACAGUUGGAAACGACUGCUAAUACCGCAUAAGCCCACAGCUCGGCAUCGAGCAGAGGGAAAAGGAGUGAUCCGCUUUGAGAUGGCCUCGCGUCCGAUUAGCUAGUUGGUGAGGUAAUGGCCCACCAAGGCGACGAUCGGUAGCCGGACUGAGGGGUUGAACGGCCACAUUGGGACUGAGACACGGCCCAG